This 505-nucleotide ribosomal RNA is filed under the name uncultured bacterium. Its description in RNAcentral is "partial 16S ribosomal RNA". It matches the Rfam family "Bacterial small subunit ribosomal RNA", at positions 28 to 507 of the family's 1533-position model. The record is from RNAcentral.
GACGAACGCUGGCGGCGUGCCUAAUACAUGCAAGUAGAACGCACAGUUUAUACCGUAGCUUGCUACACCAUAGACUGUGAGUUGCGAACGGGUGAGUAACGCGUAGGUAACCUGCCUGGUAGCGGGGGAUAACUAUUGGAAACGAUAGCUAAUACCGCAUAAUAUUGAUUAUUGCAUGAUAAUUAAUUGAAAGGUGCAAUUGCACCACUACCAGAUGGACCUGCGUUGUAUUAGCUAGUAGGUGAGGUAACGGCUCACCUAGGCGACGAUACAUAGCCGACCUGAGAGGGUGAUCGGCCACCCUGGGACUGGGACACGGCCCAGACUCCUACGGGAGGCAGCAGUAGGGAAUCUUCGGCCAUGGACGCAAGUCUGACCGCGCAACGCCGCGUGAGUGAAGAAGGUUUUCGGAUCGUAAAGCUCUGUUGUAAGAGAAGAACGGGUGUGAGAGUGGAAAGUUCACACUGUGACGGUAUCUUACCAGAAAGGGACGGCUAACUACGUG